Rattus norvegicus (Norway rat) is the source of this 245-nucleotide non-coding RNA. Ensembl annotates it as Nuclear RNase P. Lineage: Eukaryota; Metazoa; Chordata; Mammalia; Rodentia; Muridae. The record is from Ensembl.
GGCAGAGGAAGUUCAUCAGCGUGGUCACGUGCUCAGUGCUCACUGCCCCCGGGAAGGUCUGAGACUGGGACCUCCGGAGGCCCCAACCAGGCUCUCCCCUAGUGGGAAGGCAAGUUCCCAGAGAGCAGGGCUCCACACGUGGGUAGACUGGGCAGGAGAAGCCCCAAGUGGGCCGAUGCCUCCCUCACCAGAGCUUGAAACAAAGAAUUCAACUGCCCUGAAUCCAGAUGUAAAGCCCACAUGUU